CAAAUACGUUUUAUUUUUAAUAAAAAUUAUGGCCUGUAGCAUAUCACGACACUGCUGCCACCUACAUUCUUUUUGGUUUAGACUGUAAGCUAACAGUUGCAACAGGUCUCGUAUUGCCGGAGCACCACCAGCUUCCCGUGAACACAUGUGUGCCGCGCUUACAUGUUUAUCGUGUAUUGUGUGCGUUUAUUGCGUGCUUAUCGUACGCGACAUUCGUCGACUGGGCAUUUUCCGCGUGUUGGGGCGUUCUCCUGCCUUGAUCCAGUGGCGGAUGAUGGUCGUUGUUCGUUGCCACUCAACACAGCCUCACGGGACGCACAGCUUUGUGUCCGCGCUCAAAAGUGCUUUCUUGCUUCGUUCAUCGAUUACUCACGUUGAUCGAGUGAUCGAGUGUACUUCCGAAGACAAUCCGCGUCCGAGUGUUUUGACAAGCGGCGACCGCGGUUCCACAGGAGCGGAAGCUUGAGCCUUUUGACGAGCGACUGUGCCAAACUUGGGAACCGUCGUAUUGGCACAGCGAGGAUGAUCAACAGAUACCCGAUAGGCAGCGAUGAGAGCUGUUCAUGGCACCGACACAGAGGACAGAUUGCAGUACAAGAUAGGAGCAUACUUCCUGCAAGCCCGGGCAAGCCAUAAUGAGUGGUUUCAAAUACAGCAACUGUACCACCACAACAGUGCAGCACAGGAGAGCCUAUCGUCAGUGCCGCGUCGAGAAAUUAAAUAAAAAAGCACUUACUCCUGG
Rhipicephalus sanguineus (brown dog tick) is the source of this 742-nucleotide long non-coding RNA. RefSeq lists it as uncharacterized. Lineage: Eukaryota; Metazoa; Arthropoda; Arachnida; Ixodida; Ixodidae. The transcript has 4 exons. The record is from RefSeq and is a predicted model, not a curated record.